CCUACGGGUGGCUGCAGUAAGGAAUAUUGGUCAAUGGGCGCAAGCCUGAACCAGCCAUCCCGCGUGCAGGAUGACUGCCCUAUGGGUUGUAAACUGCUUUUAUCUGGGAAUAAACCACUCUAUUUAUGGGGUGUUGAAGGUACCAGAAGAAUAAGCACCGGCUAACUCCGUGCCAGCAGCCGCGGUAAUACGGAGGGUGCAAGCGUUAUCCGGAAUCACUGGGUUUAAAGGGUGCGUAGGCGGCUGUAUAAGUCAGGGGUGAAAGGCUACAGCUUAACUGUGGAAUUGCCUUUGAUACUGUAUAGCUUGAAUAAGGAUGAGGUUGGCGGAAUGUGGCAUGUAGCGGUGAAAUGCAUAGAUAUGCCAUAGAACACCAAUUGCGAAGGCAGCUAACUGGACCUUUAUUGACGCUGAGGCACGAAAGCGUGGGGAUCAAACAGGAUUAGAUACCCCGGUAGUC
This 460-nucleotide ribosomal RNA is filed under the name uncultured Sphingobacteriales bacterium. RNAcentral's name for it is "bacterial SSU rRNA". It matches the Rfam family "Bacterial small subunit ribosomal RNA", at positions 338 to 795 of the family's 1533-position model. Lineage: Bacteria; Pseudomonadati; Bacteroidota; Sphingobacteriia; Sphingobacteriales. The record is from RNAcentral.